AAGACGACGUAUACGGCGUGACGCCUGCCCGGUGACUGGAAGGUUAAGAGGAGGAGUCAGCGCAAGCAAAGCUCCGAAUCGAAGCCCCAGUAAACGGCGGCCGUAACAAUAACGGUCCUAAGGUAGCGAAAUUCCUUGUCGGGUAAGUUCCGACCUGCACGAAUGGCGUAACGACUUCCCCACUGUCUCGGGCAGGGACUCAGCGAAGUAGCACUGGGGGUGAAGAUACCCUCUACCCCACGGCAGGACGGAGAGACCCCGUGAACCUUCACUACAGUUUGACACUGAUUGACGAAAUUUUCUGCGUAGUCUAGGUGGGACGCUUUGAAGCCGGGAUUCUGGUCUCGGUGGAGCGGCAAUAUGAAAAACCACCCUGAAAAUUUUGGCAAUCUAACCUACACCCCUGAGCGGGGUGGGGGACACUGUCUGAUGGGUAGUUUGACUGGGGCGGUCGCCUCCCAAAGAGUAACGGAGGCGCGCGAAGGUCCCCUCAGCCUGAUUGGAAACCAGGCGCCGAGUGUAAUGGCAUAAGGGGG
Molecule: ribosomal RNA, 536 nt
Filed under: uncultured bacterium
Lineage: Bacteria
Description: bacterial LSU rRNA
Rfam family: Bacterial large subunit ribosomal RNA
Source: RNAcentral